UACCUUAGAGCUCGUAGAAAUGGCUUCUUCUGUUGAGAAGUCAAGUGAGUUCACCAGGAAAUCCACCACUACAUUGGCGCGUGAGGUGACUGCAGCUGUAGAGAAAAGGAGCUGAAAUCUGAUGUAACAAAUGGGAAAAAGAUGCUUUUUUGCGGGUUCUUACGACCUUUUGAUUAGUCUCUUCUAAGGGUGUUAAAAAGGGUGGGUCGGGCCG
Molecule: long non-coding RNA, 214 nt
Filed under: Nicotiana benthamiana
Lineage: Eukaryota; Viridiplantae; Streptophyta; Magnoliopsida; Solanales; Solanaceae
Description: long non-coding RNA (NBEN_LNC000456)
Source: RNAcentral